GUGGGGAAUAUUGGACAAUGGGCGAAAGCCUGAUCCAGCCAUGCCGCGUGUGUGAAGAAGGUCUUCGGAUUGUAAAGCACUUUAAGUUGGGAGGAAGGGCAGUAAGUUAAUACCUUGCUGUUUUGACGUUACCGACAGAAUAAGCACCGGCUAACUUCGUGCCAGCAGCCGCGGUAAUACGAAGGGUGCAAGCGUUAAUCGGAAUUACUGGGCGUAAAGCGCGCGUAGGUGGUUUUGUAAGUUGGAGGUGAAAUCCCCGGGCUCAACCUGGGAACUGCCUCCAAAACUGCAUGACUAGAGUACGGUAGAGGGUAGUGGAAUUUCCUGUGUAGCGGUGAAAUGCGUAGAUAUAGGAAGGAACACCAGUGGCGAAGGCGACUACCUGGACUGAUACUGACACUGAGGUGCGAAAGCGUGGGGAGCAAACAGGAUUAGAAACCCUGUAGUCC
This 449-nucleotide ribosomal RNA is filed under the name uncultured bacterium. RNAcentral describes it as "partial 16S ribosomal RNA". It matches the Rfam family "Bacterial small subunit ribosomal RNA", at positions 354 to 796 of the family's 1533-position model. The record is from RNAcentral.